Molecule: ribosomal RNA, 445 nt
Filed under: uncultured bacterium
Lineage: Bacteria
Description: bacterial SSU rRNA
Rfam family: Bacterial small subunit ribosomal RNA
Source: RNAcentral
GUGAGGAAUAUUGGUCAAUGGACGAAAGUCUGAACCAGCCAUGCCGCGUGAAGGAAUAAGGCCCUAUGGGUCGUAAACUUCUUUUGUAUGUGAGCAAUAAGGUCCACGAGUGGUCCGAUGAGAGUAGCAUACGAAUAAGCAUCGGCUAACUCCGUGCCAGCAGCCGCGGUAAUACGGAGGAUGCAAGCGUUAUCCGGAUUCAUUGGGUUUAAAGGGUGCGUAGGCGGCUUGGUAAGUCAGCGGUGAAAUUCCAGUGCUCAACAUUGGCCGUGCCGUUGAUACUGCUGGGCUUGAAUGCGGAUGCCGUGGGAGGAAUGUGUGGUGUAGCGGUGAAAUGCAUAGAUAUCACACAGAACACCGAUUGCGAAGGCAUCUCACGAAUCCGCAAUUGACGCUGAGGCACGAAAGUGUGGGGAUCAAACAGGAUUAGAAACCCCUGUAGUCC